This is a long non-coding RNA of Oncorhynchus keta (chum salmon), 161 nucleotides long. RefSeq lists it as uncharacterized. The transcript is spliced from 2 exons. The record is from RefSeq and is a predicted model, not a curated record. Lineage: Eukaryota; Metazoa; Chordata; Actinopteri; Salmoniformes; Salmonidae.
UCCCUUGUGAGGUCAUCUGUGGAAUCCCUUGUGAGGUCACCUGUGGAAUCCCUUGUGAGGUCAUCUGUGGAAUCCCUUGUGAGGUCAUCUGUGGAAUCCCUUGUGAGGUCACCUGUGGAAUCCCUUGUGAGGUCACCUGUGGAAUCCCUUGUGAGGUCACC